This 3511-nucleotide long non-coding RNA is filed under the name Mytilus galloprovincialis (Mediterranean mussel). The record is from RNAcentral. Lineage: Eukaryota; Metazoa; Mollusca; Bivalvia; Mytilida; Mytilidae.
CUGGGGGUGAUUUCCUGUUCUGGGAGGAUAAGAUCCUGCUCCACGUAUGGCAUUCCUUUUUAAUCUUUGUCCCAAUAACAAAUUAUAGUAAACAUAGUAGCAGAUCUGGAAAUGCACACAACAACUUUAGAUAGUUUGUAAAUCAUGAAUAUGUUGGUUUGAAUACCUUCAGGAAAUAAUUAAUUAUUAUUAAGCAUACCUAGCUAAAAUGUUUACCUGGAUGCUAUUGCAGCAUCAACUGCCAAUAUAUGUUUAAAUAAACAUAGAAAACUAUUGAAUCAUUAAAACCAAUAGUCUAAGGAUUAUAUGCAGUAGCAUUAUAUUGGAUCUGAAAAUUAAUAUCUAUGAACCUGAGGUUUCACUAUGAAUAUUUGCCCAUAUUUAGUGAAAGUAAGGUUGAGGAUCCAAUUAUAGCCCCAUGUUAAAUCUGCAUUUAAUCACAGGCAAAACAUGAAUAUCUGAUAUUUUUACAGUGACAGAAAUCCAUUAUGCAAUGUGCAUUAUGACAAACAUAUCCUGUGUUUUUAAAUUUUGAAAAGACAAAAUUGAUUUCAGUUGGAACAGUUCAGGUACAAUUUUUUACCAAACCUCCAAAUUUUAAACACAAGAACAAAUAAGCAUGAAAUAACCUCUAUUAUAUUGCAAAUAUACAUCAAACAAUUAUUAAUAAUAAAGUUUCAACUUAAUGCAAAUGUCUACUACAAUUGAUAUCAAUAAUAACAAGUAAGAAAUUUGAAAUCUUAUAAGGGACAAAAAAAUAUACAAAAUAUUGCACAAUGAGUAAAAGGUGUAGAAAAUAUCAUGUAUGACACAAGAAAUAGUUUUAAACUGUCAACAAAGUAUUGUUAGUGUGUCUGUCUUUUAUGUAGUAAUAUUUCAUUCAAUAUUUUGAUAUAUCUUUCAAUAAUAUAGAUUACUUGCAUACAUAGAUUCCUGGUUACAUAACCUAUUUGAAUUUAUUUCCAAAUUUCCAAAUUUUAUUUCAACUAAAUGAAACCUACAAUAUAUUAUGUGCAUCAAAUAGGAUCUCAAACUACAUAGCUUCUAGAUAUUCUGAUAUCUAUCAUUGCCAUAUUAAUUUUAGACUUUUUAAAGGCAAAAUAUUAACAACUAACCCUAUGCUAUUUCAUUAAAAUGUAUGAGAUGCUCUACAACUGAAAUAUUUGUAAACUUAAGGUGGUAGAACUAUUCUAAGGGAAAUAACUCUUAAAAUCAUCAGGACUUUUGUGUCAAGCAUUUUCAAUAAAUAGAUUAUAAGCUUCUAAGUUACAUGGACUGUUAACAAUCUAUUUCAGGUAAUUUAAAAGCUUAAAAUACAUUGAUGAAACUUGACUUUAACAAAAGCAUUUUUCAGUUUAAGAGUUAUCUCCCUGAACCAAGGUCUACCCCCUAAUUUAGACAAAAUAUCAAACAAGAUAUUUUUUUAAUGAAUAGAAAGAAGUCUAUAUGAAAAUUAAGAAAUGAAAAUACUGCAUUAUCUAUGGAAUUAAAUCACGAAAAACAAUUGACUUUACAACAUAAAUAUAAACAAUAAUAAAGAUAUUUAGAAAUCCAAUACUUGUGAGCACUGAAGGGUAAACAGAUAGCAUUCACUUUACAUAGGGAAGUAUAACAUUGUAGUAUAUUAGUAAGGGAAGACAAUAUUUAGAAUUGGAUAUUUCUUAUUUUGUUCAUAAUUUUAGUACAAAUACAAAGAUUACUUUAAUUUUAAUAACUCCUUUAAUGGCCAUUUAAAAACAAUCAGAUUCACUUAAUGCCUAAGCUGUAAUGUUUCGACAGAUAAAAUCAAAACUGAACUCAAUAUAAAAUACAUAUAUAUAUCAGACAAUUAUAUAAGUUAUGUUAAUAAAUGGAUUAAGUAAUUUGAUUAAUUAUACUUGAAAUGAAAUCUUCCACUAAACAAAAUAAUUCUAACAUUUCUAUAACAAUAAUACAAAUUAUAAAUACCAUCAAUAUAUUUUAUAUUAUAAUGCCAUAACCUUAAUCUACUGCAAACAAAAUAAAACAAAUAAAUAUCUAUAACACUAAAAUAAAACAUAUAAGGGAAAGCAUAUGAAAGCAUCAAUAUAUUUUGACAGACAAAAUAUCUAGGUUUUUAGGGCCCUUUAUAGCUGGCUGUUCGGUGUGAGCCUAAGCUCUGUGUUGAAAACUGCAACUUGACCUAUAAUGGUUUACUUUUAUAAAUUGUGACUAGGAUGGAGAGUUGUCUCAUUGGCACUCAUACCACAUCUUCUUAUAUCUAUCUGUUUUACACAUUGAUUCUUAUUGCUGUGUAACUUUACCUAAUUAGUAUCAUCUUGAUAUUUCUUAACAAAUAGGGAAACAAUACACUAAAAUAAAAAAAUCUUGCAAAUAUAAAUACAAUAAACUUCUAAACCAGUAGGUUAGAAAUGAAGUUACAUACACUUCUAACGGCAACUUAAUUAUUCAUUAUGUCAAAAGUGUUUUAUGACAAUGAUGUACUUUUCCUUUCAAAUGAUUACAAAGUAGAUUGAUUGGUUAAUAAAUUUAGGUUCCCCAACAAUGAAAAUAUUGUACAAUUUUUUGUUCCUUUUCUGAAACCUUGAUGCCUGUUAUGCCCCUUUCUAGCCAUAAUUUAAGUCUGACAUAUUCAGGGCAAUUUUGUUCAACAUGCACAACAGUAGGUUGGAUUACAGUAGGUGAUAGAGAUUAAAAUAAAAUUUAAUUAUUGGUAUAAAAGAAAAAUAUAUAUAAAACUUUAUAACAUGAGCAAUGCCAAAAUUUAAGUGUUCUAACAAAAUUAUGUCAUCUAAAAAAAAUAUGGUUUUGUCACUUAUCUACUGACCAUAUUUAAACUGAAGGUUAAGGAUUCAAAUGAAAAUGGUUCCUGCUAUAUUUAUCUUAGUAAAACCUAUUUCACUUUAAAUAAUAUAAUAUUAUCAUAUCUGAAUCUGUAAAGUUCUUUUAAUCAAAUUUUACUACUGGUAUCCAGCAAUGUUUGCAUCACAGCCUAGCAUAAAGUAUAAAUGAGGUAAAUGGUUUAAGUUUGUGACAAUGAACUUUGAUUUGGUAUUACAACUGCUUAUUUCACAGUUUUGGUGGUUUGUCAAAAUAAACUCAGUGGUUUUGAUUACUAGUGUAAGUCAAGUAAGGCAUGGAUUUAAUCACAAAAUUGUAUUCACAAAAUUUAAUCAAAUCAUGCAAAAAAUACAUGAAAAUAAUAUAGGAGCAAUUCUUAACAAUGACGAAACAAAAUGCUUGAAAUUUGCAAUUUGUAAAUGAUUUUUAUUGUUGCAGAGAUGACACAGACUACAUGAAAGUAUGCAAACUGUUUCUCUCUUCAGGAUUACAUAUUAUAAGUAUAAAUUAUAAAUGACUUAUAAUAAUUUUAAAAUGAUUUUGAUAAUAAUCCAAUAAAUUUUCUAUCUUUACAUAUUAUCUUUCAAAUACUUUAAUGAAUGAGUAUUAAAUAUAAACCAGUCUCUUAAUUUUAUUUCAUUUUAUUAUCAAAAAAUUGAAUUUAAACAUAAGAAGAUUUUUUUAAAUCAAC